RNAcentral lists this ribosomal RNA (261 nucleotides) under uncultured bacterium. RNAcentral describes it as "partial 16S ribosomal RNA". It matches the Rfam family "Bacterial small subunit ribosomal RNA", at positions 796 to 1049 of the family's 1533-position model. The record is from RNAcentral.
UAGACACUCGACGAUGGGUAUUAAAACUAUAUUAAAAGAAAUUAAUAUUUUUACAGCAAACGCGUUAAAUACUCUACCUGAAAAAUAUGAUCGCAAGAUUUAAAUUCAAAGAAAUUGACGGAGAUACCUUGACAGGCGGUGGAACAUGUUGUUUAAUUCGAUGAUCCGCGCAAAUCUUUACCAGGUCUUGAUCGAUAUUCGACAAUAAUUCAUUAUUGGUGUUGUUAAAUUUUUACUUUUAACAUUCGAUAUCCACAGGGU